This 730-nucleotide ribosomal RNA is filed under the name uncultured Lachnospiraceae bacterium. RNAcentral describes it as "bacterial SSU rRNA". It matches the Rfam family "Bacterial small subunit ribosomal RNA", at positions 28 to 759 of the family's 1533-position model. Lineage: Bacteria; Bacillati; Bacillota; Clostridia; Lachnospirales; Lachnospiraceae. The record is from RNAcentral.
GAUGAACGCUGGCGGCGUGCUUAACACAUGCAAGUCGAACGGGAAACCUUUUAUUGAAGCUUCGGCAGAUUUAGCUGGUUUCUAGUGGCGGACGGGUGAGUAACGCGUGGGUAACCUGCCUUAUACAGGGGGAUAACAACCAGAAAUGGUUGCUAAUACCGCAUAAGCGCACAGGACCGCAUGGUCCGGUGUGAAAAACUCCGGUGGUAUAAGAUGGACCCGCGUUGGAUUAGCUAGUUGGCAGGGUAACGGCCUACCAAGGCGACGAUCCAUAGCCGGCCUGAGAGGGUGAACGGCCACAUUGGGACUGAGACACGGCCCAGACUCCUACGGGAGGCAGCAGUGGGGAAUAUUGCACAAUGGGGGAAACCCUGAUGCAGCGACGCCGCGUGAAGGAAGAAGUAUCUCGGUAUGUAAACUUCUAUCAGCAGGGAAGAUAGUGACGGUACCUGACUAAGAAGCCCCGGCUAACUACGUGCCAGCAGCCGCGGUAAUACGUAGGGGGCAAGCGUUAUCCGGAUUUACUGGGUGUAAAGGGAGCGUAGACGGACUGGCAAGUCUGAUGUGAAAGGCGGGGGCUCAACCCCUGGACUGCAUUGGAAACUGUUAGUCUUGAGUGCCGGAGAGGUAAGCGGAAUUCCUAGUGUAGCGGUGAAAUGCGUAGAUAUUAGGAGGAACACCAGUGGCGAAGGCGGCUUACUGGACGGUAACUGACGUUGAGGCUCGAAAG